GAGCUGUGAUGAAUAUAUGCGCAUCAAGCGGUGAUUAGGGUCGCCGCACUUGUCUGAUUUCAAGACCGAUACAACAGCGCAUCUGAGCUC
Lycium barbarum (goji berry) is the source of this 90-nucleotide small nucleolar RNA. RefSeq annotates it as small nucleolar RNA snoR114. The transcript has a single exon. NCBI's taxonomy places the organism in Eukaryota, Viridiplantae, Streptophyta, Magnoliopsida, Solanales, Solanaceae. The record is from RefSeq and is a predicted model, not a curated record.